ACUUUCAAAGGAUAAUAGUAAUCCAAUGGUCUUAGGAACCAAUCAUCUUGGUGCAAAUCCAAGUGAAAGUA
RNAcentral lists this transfer RNA (71 nucleotides) under Pica pica (Eurasian magpie). RNAcentral describes it as "tRNA-Leu". It matches the Rfam family "tRNA". From Rfam's summary of the family: Transfer RNA (tRNA) molecules are approximately 80 nucleotides in length. Lineage: Eukaryota; Metazoa; Chordata; Aves; Passeriformes; Corvidae. RNAcentral also lists the same sequence under 7 other names. The record is from RNAcentral.